Molecule: ribosomal RNA, 521 nt
Filed under: uncultured Glomus
Lineage: Eukaryota; Fungi; Glomeromycota; Glomeromycetes; Glomerales; Glomeraceae
Description: SSU rRNA
Rfam family: Eukaryotic small subunit ribosomal RNA
Source: RNAcentral
AGCAGCCGCGGUAAUUCCAGCUCCAAUAGCGUAUAUUAAAGUUGUUGCAGUUAAAAAGCUCGUAGUUGAAUUUCGAGAUCAAAUUGUUGGUCGUGCCUUGGUACGCACUGGCAUUAUUGGUUUCUCCCUUCUGACGAACCAUGAUGUCAUUAAUUUGGUGUCUUGGGGAAUCAGGACUGUUACUUUGAAAAAAUUAGAGUGUUUAAAGCAGGCUCACGCUUGAAUACAUUAGCAUGGAAUAAUGAAAUAGGACGUUUGAUUCUAUUUUGUUGGUUUCUAGGAUCGACGUAAUGAUUAAUAGGGAUAGUUGGGGGCAUUAGUAUUCAAUUGUCAGAGGUGAAAUUCUUGGAUUUAUUGAAGACUAACUACUGCGAAAGCAUUUGCCAAGGAUGUUUUCAUUAAUCAAGAACGAAAGUUAGGGGAUCGAAGACGAUCAGAUACCGUCGUAGUCUUAACCAUAAACUAUGCCGACUAGGGAUCGGAUGAUGUUAAUUUUUUAAUGACUCAUUCGGCGCCUUACG